GACGAACGCUGGCGGCGUGCUUAACACAUGCAAGUCGAACGGAAAGGCCUCUUUCGGGGGGUACUCGAGUGGCGAACGGGUGAGUAACACGUGAGUAACCUGCCCUUGACUUUGGGAUAACUUCAGGAAACUGGGGCUAAUACCGGAUAGGAGCUCCUGCUGCAUGGUGGGGGUUGGAAAGUUUCGGCGGUUGGGGAUGGACUCGCGGCUUAUCAGCUUGUUGGUGGGGUAGUGGCUUACCAAGGCUUUGACGGGUAGCCGGCCUGAGAGGGUGACCGGCCACAUUGGGACUGAGAUACGGCCCAGACUCCGACGGGAGGCAGCAGUGGGGAAUAUUGCACAAGGGGUGGAAGCCUGAUGCAGCAACGCCGUGUGCGGGAUGACGGCCUUCGGGUUGUAAACCGCUUUCGCUCAUGACGAAGCUUUGUGUGACGGUAGUGGGUAAAGAAGCACCGGCUAACUACGUG
This 467-nucleotide ribosomal RNA is filed under the name uncultured bacterium. Its description in RNAcentral is "partial 16S ribosomal RNA". It matches the Rfam family "Bacterial small subunit ribosomal RNA", at positions 28 to 507 of the family's 1533-position model. The record is from RNAcentral.